This is a long non-coding RNA of Prionailurus viverrinus (fishing cat), 875 nucleotides long. RefSeq lists it as uncharacterized. The transcript is spliced from 4 exons. NCBI's taxonomy places the organism in Eukaryota, Metazoa, Chordata, Mammalia, Carnivora, Felidae. The record is from RefSeq and is a predicted model, not a curated record.
UUUGAAAGUUGGAGCACACCACUCCAUAAAUGAGGCACUUUUCUUUCCUCCAUUCUCGCUUUCAGUUUGCUUGCCUUGCCCUGCUCGGUUCUGUCGCCACGUCUCCCUCAGUCUUCCGUAUCUUGCUCCGGAGCGUGCUCCUAAGGCGUAACUCAAUGCAAGAAGGGACUGUAUCGCUUAUCAUGUCUCAGGUGGCCUUGUCUGAGAAAUGGAACUUCUGUUGUCAACAUGAGAUUAGAAGCAUGGCCUAGUGAGUUCGCAGGUCCAAGAAAGACCUGAGCCCAUCCUGCUGCCUGGAGCCCAGCCCCUGUUGAGAAGACCCCUCAUGUGAUCCACAGAUGAAUGGGCAAAGAAAUUCUAUGCUCCAAUGUGCCCGGAGAUAUGAAGCAUGACAAGAACUACCACCCAAGCAGUUGUCAGAAUGAAAAGGCUUUGACAGCGGCUCCUCCAGGGGCUUGCCCUUCUCCCGCAAGCCAUCAACAAUGAAGAUGCUCCUGGGAUGGAAGGAUGGUGACUUUCCAGGCAGAAACUGUUUUCAGAAUCUGUACUUGUUUACUCAAAGGGGAUAUCAAAGAAAAAAGUUAAGGCAUUUCUUGAAUGAGGAAGAAAAGUGAAUGACAAGUAGAUUCGAAACUGAAAGCAAUAAAAUGAAUGUGGCUUUAAAAAAAAAAAAAUGCUUUUAAACAAGCGCCCUCCAACAUCUCAAGAGCAUCAUGACCAGAGAGCAGAGUGCUGUUCUGCCAUCAGAGGAGGACGAGUAGAUCCUGAAUGCGGCCCGAGAGAGACACAAUUCAGAGCUAGGUGGUACCAAGGUAAGUACACAUGAGGAACUGUUGAGAAGCCAAAUCAAAUCCCUAAACUCUGAGUAGCCUCCG